Molecule: ribosomal RNA, 343 nt
Filed under: uncultured bacterium
Lineage: Bacteria
Description: bacterial SSU rRNA
Rfam family: Bacterial small subunit ribosomal RNA
Source: RNAcentral
ACCCAUAAUAUAUUUGAUAAGGCAUCUUAUUAAUAUUUAAAGCUUCGGCACUUUGAUGAUGGGUGUGCGGCUGAUUAGAUAGUUGGCGGGGUAACGGCCCACCAAGUCUACGAUCAGUAGCUGAUGUGAGAGCAUGAUCAGCCACACGGGCACUGAGACACGGGCCCGACUCCUACGGGAGGCAGCAGUAAGGAAUAUUGGACAAUGGACGAAAGUCUGAUCCAGCCAUGCCGCGUGAAGGAUUAAGGUCCUCUGGAUUGUAAACUUCUUUUAUAUGGGACGAAAAAAGGGCAUUCUUGUUCACUUGACGGUACCAUAUGAAUAAGCACCGGCUAACUCCGUG